GGAUAGGUGGCCGAGCGGUUUAAGGCACUAGUCUUGAAAACUGGCGUACGGGGCAACCGUACCGUGGGUUCGAAUCCCACCCUAUCCGCCA
This 91-nucleotide transfer RNA is filed under the name Rickettsia canadensis str. CA410. RNAcentral describes it as "tRNA-Ser (TGA) (tRNA-Ser-TGA-1-1)". It matches the Rfam family "tRNA". From Rfam's summary of the family: Transfer RNA (tRNA) molecules are approximately 80 nucleotides in length. The record is from RNAcentral. Lineage: Bacteria; Pseudomonadati; Pseudomonadota; Alphaproteobacteria; Rickettsiales; Rickettsiaceae.